UAAAGCCAAUGAUUAGAGGCAUUGGGGGCG
Molecule: small nuclear RNA, 30 nt
Filed under: Arabidopsis thaliana (thale cress)
Lineage: Eukaryota; Viridiplantae; Streptophyta; Magnoliopsida; Brassicales; Brassicaceae
Description: snRNA_13763
Source: RNAcentral